UACCCGCUGAACUUAAGCAUAUCAAUAAGCGGAGGAAAAGAAACUAACAAGGAUUCCCCUAGUAACUGCGAGUGAAGCGGGAAAAGCUCAAAUUUAAAAUCUGGCGGUCUUUGGCCGUCCGAGUUGUAGUCUGGAGAAGUGCUUUCCGUGCUGGACCGUGUAUAAGUCUCUUGGAACAGAGCGUCAUAGAGGGUGAGAAUCCCGUCUUUGACACGGACUACCAGUGCUUUGUGAUGCGCUCUCAAAGAGUCGAGUUGUUUGGGAAUGCAGCUCAAAAUGGGUGGUGAAUUCCAUCUAAAGCUAAAUAUUGGCGAGAGACCGAUAGCGAACAAGUACCGUGAGGGAAAGAUGAAAAGCACUUUGGAAAGAGAGUUAAACAGUACGUGAAAUUGCUGAAAGGGAAACGCUUGAAGUCAGUCGCGUUGUCCGGAACUCAGCCUUGCUUUCGCUUGGUGCACUUUCCGGAUGACGGGUCAGCAUCGAUUUUGACCGUCGGAAAAGGGCUGGAGUAAUGUGGCACCUCCGGGUGUGUUAUAGACUCUGGUCGCAUACGGCGGUUGGGAUCGAGGAACGCAGCGCGCCGCAAGGCAGGGGUUCGCCCACUUUCGCGCUUAGGAUGCUGGCAUAAUGGCUUUAAACGACCCGUCUUGAAACACGGACCAAGGAGUCUAACAUACCUGCGAGUGUUUGGGUGGAAAACCCGAGCGCGUAAUGAAAGUGAAAGUUGAGAUCCCUGUCGUGGGGAGCAUCGACGCCCGGACCUGACGUUCUCUGACGGAUCCGCGGUAGAGCAUGUAUGUUGGGACCCGAAAGAUGGUGAACUAUGCCUGAAUAGGGUGAAGCCAGAGGAAACUCUGGUGGAGGCUCGUAGCGAUUCUGACGUGCAAAUCGAUCGUCAAAUUUGGGUAUAGGGGCGAAAGACUAAU
Molecule: ribosomal RNA, 926 nt
Filed under: Ganoderma philippii
Lineage: Eukaryota; Fungi; Basidiomycota; Agaricomycetes; Polyporales; Polyporaceae
Description: partial large subunit ribosomal RNA
Rfam family: Eukaryotic large subunit ribosomal RNA
Source: RNAcentral